This 239-nucleotide unclassified non-coding RNA is filed under the name uncultured fungus. RNAcentral's name for it is "sequence contains ITS1, 5.8S rRNA gene". Lineage: Eukaryota; Fungi. The record is from RNAcentral.
UUUCCGUUGGUGAACCAGCUGAAGGAUCAUUACAGAGAUCAUGCCCCUCGCGGGUAGACCUCCCACCCUGUGUUAUUUACGAUUGUUGCUUUGGCAGGUCGCCUUCGGGCACUCGGCUCCGGCUGAGGUGCGCCUGCCAGAGGACCCCAACUCUGUGUUUAGUGUCGUCUGAGUACUAUUUUAAUACGUUAAAACUUUCAACAACGGAUCUCUUGGUUCUGGCAUCGAUGAAGAACAGC